Molecule: transfer RNA, 85 nt
Filed under: bacterium
Lineage: Bacteria
Description: tRNA-Ser
Rfam family: tRNA
About the family: Transfer RNA (tRNA) molecules are approximately 80 nucleotides in length. Their secondary structure includes four short double-helical elements and three loops (D, anti-codon, and T loops).
Source: RNAcentral
GACGCGAUACCAAAGUGGUUAAUGGGUUCGGUUGCUAACUGAAUGGGCUUUGCCCGCGGAGGUUCGAUCCCUCCUCGCGUCGUCA